UUUUGCCUGUCCUGCAGCCUGAAGAGGUAUUUGGGAGCAGAGCUGCGAGUGCUUUGUACAUACUGCUAGAGUGUCCCUAGGGGUUUGCAUAGUAUUUAUUGUUCAUAUACACAAGGCUGAUUGAUUGCUGUACAGUUUACACCUCCAACACAAGCAACGAGCUCAGUGCUCAGCCCAGAGCCCUGCCCUGGCCGGAGCCGUUGCCUGCGCUGGGGAGCGGAUGGGCAGCCCUGCACCGGCCCCUCUGCCCAGGGCAGUUGUGCUCCCUGCACCCCUCUGCUCCCCCCAAACCCAGCACUCACGGAGCGGGAUGAGAAGCGAGUCCAGCAGAGGCAGCACUGGCGAUGCGGGGUGUGUGUGUCAGCUCCGCGCUGCCCCAGCCUCCCUCUUGCAGCUGGAGCACGGGCACAGGGAUGCCUUCGCCCACCUCUCUGCUGCUGGCUCUUGCCUCCCGCGGGAGCUGAGAGGAUGCCCCGGGUGCGUGCUGCUGCCCCUGGGCUCUGGCAGCAGUGGGGCAGGGAUGGAGCCCCCCCCCGCCGGUUGUAAGUACUGUAGCUCAUGCGUCUUGCAGUCAGUCAGUCAUGCGGAUAGGACGGUAAGUAUGUCU
Pezoporus occidentalis (night parrot) is the source of this 607-nucleotide long non-coding RNA. RefSeq lists it as uncharacterized. The transcript is spliced from 2 exons. NCBI's taxonomy places the organism in Eukaryota, Metazoa, Chordata, Aves, Psittaciformes, Psittacidae. The record is from RefSeq and is a predicted model, not a curated record.